Takifugu rubripes (torafugu) is the source of this 100-nucleotide microRNA precursor. Ensembl annotates it as microRNA let-7e. Its record names the gene mirlet7e. The record is from Ensembl. Lineage: Eukaryota; Metazoa; Chordata; Actinopteri; Tetraodontiformes; Tetraodontidae.
GCUGUCCUUGGGGUUGAGGUAGUAGAUUGAAUAGUUGUGGGGUUGUGUGACCUCUUAGUGAGAUAACUAUACAAUCUACUGUCUUUCCUAAGGAGACAGC